AUGUCACCACCGAGCGCCACCAGCUCCUCCAGGCUGAGUGGCAAGGCAGGCUGUCACAGAGUGCCCACACAAAGAGCCUCUGCAGGACAGCAGGGUGUCGGCAUGGAGAGGGCAAGGUACAAAGCUGUCUCACAGGCCUGCCAGUUAAACACCCCCCAUGGGGCCAUCGCUGAAGGGCCAGGCCGCGGCUGGAGGGAAAAGCAACCCCAGCACGGUCACCCCAGCCGUGCCGUGAUGCUGGCGACAGUCGCUGCUGGCCAGCACAAGAAGGCACAGCAAGCAACAGGGCUGGCAGGGUCAGGAGACAACAGCAGGAAUGGAAGCACAGGGGCGGAAGGCACGUUAACGGAGACAAUCAGCCAAGGCAACAGAAGAGAGAGAGGGACCUCAUGGAGCAGGACUCCUGGGCAUCUUCCUCAAAUGGCUGUGAAAGACAGGGUGGCCAGCACAGCAGUCCUGUACAUGGGCCACAGCAGAAGGAACCUGGGAAGGCACUGUGGCAAGGUCACGACUGCAGCAGGAAUUGGACGCAACAACUGCUACAUUGCACUGAGCCCCUCCACCAAGACCAGGCAGCAAUACGUCAAGAGGCAAGAACGCGCCUCCGGCCCAUGAACCUGGC
RNAcentral lists this long non-coding RNA (622 nucleotides) under Cyanistes caeruleus (blue tit). RNAcentral's name for it is "lncRNA (ENSCCEG00000010837.1)". Lineage: Eukaryota; Metazoa; Chordata; Aves; Passeriformes; Paridae. The record is from RNAcentral.